GACGAACGCUGGCGGCGUGCUUAACACAUGCAAGUCGAACGGAAAGGCCCUGCUUUUGUGGGGUGCUCGAGUGGCGAACGGGUGAGUAACACGUGAGUAACCUGCCCUUGACUUUGGGAUAACUUCAGGAAACUGGGGCUAAUACCGGAUAGGAGCUCCUGCUGCAUGGUGGGGGUUAGAAAGUUUCGGCGGUUGGGGCUGGACUCGCGGCUUAUCAGCUUGUUGGUGGGGUAGUGGCUUACCAAGGCUUUGACGGGUAGCCGGCAUGGGAGGGGGGCCGGCGACAUGGGGCCUACGGUACGCAGCAGACUCGAACGGGAGGCAGCAGUGGGGAACAUUGCGCAGUGGGCGGAAGCCUGAUGUGGCGACGCUGCGUGCGGGAUAACGGCCUUCGGGUUGUAAACAACUUUCGCCUGUGACGAAGCGGGAGUGACGGUAAUGGGUAAAGAAGCACCGGCUAACUACGUG
This 468-nucleotide ribosomal RNA is filed under the name uncultured bacterium. RNAcentral describes it as "partial 16S ribosomal RNA". It matches the Rfam family "Bacterial small subunit ribosomal RNA", at positions 28 to 507 of the family's 1533-position model. The record is from RNAcentral.